Molecule: ribosomal RNA, 253 nt
Filed under: uncultured bacterium
Lineage: Bacteria
Description: partial 16S ribosomal RNA
Rfam family: Bacterial small subunit ribosomal RNA
Source: RNAcentral
GACAGAGGGUGCGAACGUUGCUCGGAAUUACUGGGCGUAAAGCGCGUGCAGGCGGUCUCCCACGUCCGGUGUGAAAGCCCGGGGCUCAACCCCGGAAGCGCGCUGGAAACGAGGGGACUGGAGGGCUGGAGAGGCGGGCGGAAUUCCCGGUGUAGAGGUGAAAUUCGUAGAUAUCGGGAGGAACACCGGUGGCGAAGGCGGCCCGCUGGACAGCGCCUGACGCUGAGACGCGAAAGCGUGGGUAGCAAACAGG